GAUGAACGCUGGCGGCGUGCCUAAUACAUGCAAGUCGAGCGAACAGACGAGGAGCUUGCUCCUCUGACGUUAGCGGCGGACGGGUGAGUAACACGUGGAUAACCUACCUAUAAGACUGGGAUAACUUCGGGAAACCGGAGCUAAUACCGGAUAAUAUAUUGAACCGCAUGGUUCAAUAGUGAAAGACGGUUUUGCUGUCACUUAUAGAUGGAUCCGCGCCGCAUUAGCUAGUUGGUAAGGUAACGGCUUACCAAGGCAACGAUGCGUAGCCGACCGGAGAGGGUGAUCGGCCACACGGGAACGGAGACACGGUCCAUACUCCUACGAGAGGCAGCAGUAGGGAAUCUUCCGCAAUGGGCGAAAGCCUGACGGAGCAACGCCGCGUGAGUGAUGAAGGUCUUCGGAUCGUAAAACUCUGUUAUUAGGGAAGAACAAAUGUGUAAGUAACUAUGCACGUCUUGACGGUACCUAAUCAGAAAGCCACGGCUAACUACGUG
This 497-nucleotide ribosomal RNA is filed under the name uncultured bacterium. RNAcentral's name for it is "partial 16S ribosomal RNA". It matches the Rfam family "Bacterial small subunit ribosomal RNA", at positions 28 to 507 of the family's 1533-position model. The record is from RNAcentral.